ACUCAGUGAAAUUGAACUCGCUGUGAAGAUGCAGUGUACCCGCGGCAAGACGGAAAGACCCCGUGAACCUUUACUAUAGCUUGACACUGAACAUUGAGCCUUGAUGUGUAGGAUAGGUGGGAGGCUUUGAAGUGUGGACGCCAGUCUGCAUGGAGCCGACCUUGAAAUACCACCCUUUAAUGUUUGAUGUUCUAACGUUGACCCGUAAUCCGGGUUGCGGACAGUGUCUGGUGGGUAGUUUGACUGGGGCGGUCUCCUCCUAAAGAGUAACGGAGGAGCACGAAGGUUGGCUAAUCCUGGUCGGACAUCAGGAGGUUAGUGCAAUGGCAUAAGCCAGC
This 338-nucleotide ribosomal RNA is filed under the name Escherichia coli. RNAcentral's name for it is "partial 23S ribosomal RNA". It matches the Rfam family "Bacterial large subunit ribosomal RNA", at positions 2031 to 2368 of the family's 2925-position model. The record is from RNAcentral. Lineage: Bacteria; Pseudomonadati; Pseudomonadota; Gammaproteobacteria; Enterobacterales; Enterobacteriaceae.